CAGUAGCCGCGGGAAUACGUAGGUCCCGAGCGUUGUCCGGAUUUAUUGGGCGUAAAGCGAGCGCAGGCGGUUAGAUAAGUCUGAAGUUAAAGGCAUUGGCUCAACCAAUGUAUGCUUUGGAAACUGUUAGACUUGAGUGCAGAAGGGGAGAGUGGAAUUCCAUGUGUAGCGGUGAAAUGCGUAGAUAUAUGGAGGAACACCGGUGGCGAAAGCGGCUCUCUGGUCUGUCACUGACGCUGAGGCUCGAAAGCGUGGGUAGCGAACAGGAUUAGAGACCCCGGUAGUCCCUGUCUCUUAUACC
This 301-nucleotide ribosomal RNA is filed under the name uncultured bacterium. Its description in RNAcentral is "partial 16S ribosomal RNA". It matches the Rfam family "Bacterial small subunit ribosomal RNA", at positions 509 to 808 of the family's 1533-position model. The record is from RNAcentral.